GACGAACGCUGGCGGCGUGCUUAACACAUGCAAGUCGAACGGAAAGGCCCUGCUUUUGUGGGGUGCUCGAGUGGCGAACGGGUGAGUAACACGUGAGUAACCUGCCCUUGACUUUGGGAUAACUUCAGGAAACUGGGGCUAAUACCGGCUAGGAGCUCCUGCUGCAUGGUGGGGGUUGGAAAGUUUAGGCGGUUGGGGAUGGACUCGCGGGUUAUGAGCUUGUUGGUGGGGUAGUGGCUUACCCAGGGUUUGACGGGUAGUCCGCAUGGGAGGGGGGCCAGGCACAUUGGGACUAAGGGACGGACCAGACUGCUACGGGAGACAGCAGUGGGAAAUAUUACACAGUGGGCGGAAGUCUGAGGCGGCAGUGCCCGGAGCGGGAUGACGGCCUUCGGGUUGUGAACCGCUUUCGCCUGUGACGAAGCGUGAGUGACGGUAAUGGGUGAAGAAGCACCGGCUAACUACGUG
Molecule: ribosomal RNA, 468 nt
Filed under: uncultured bacterium
Lineage: Bacteria
Description: partial 16S ribosomal RNA
Rfam family: Bacterial small subunit ribosomal RNA
Source: RNAcentral